This 347-nucleotide long non-coding RNA is filed under the name Gossypium barbadense (sea-island cotton). RNAcentral's name for it is "long non-coding RNA (GBAR_LNC011008)". Lineage: Eukaryota; Viridiplantae; Streptophyta; Magnoliopsida; Malvales; Malvaceae. The record is from RNAcentral.
GUGCUCCCUUCUAAGGCUUUUGCUUCUCUCUAAUAACGAAAAAAUAACUCUUUCAGAAAGCAAAGCUACAACUCUUCAGUCUAAGCUAUCUAAGCUAGAACUUAAGGCCGACCUCUUUCUUUUCCAGGGAUACCCCACUUCCCGGUCUAGCUUCACUAUGUCACAUUUGAUUUUCUAGUAUUCCUACGGGGCCUUAUUAUUUCGAAGAGUCAUCCUAAUCCAUGUUGCUAAUGUUCCAGUCUUCAAACAAGAACUAGGGGGCUCGUUCGACCUGGCGCUGGCUAGACAUGAGGUCGAACAUGCCCCGUUUCGCCCUAUUGAAACUAACCUGAGUGUCCAAAUAUUGU